RNAcentral lists this ribosomal RNA (433 nucleotides) under uncultured bacterium. RNAcentral's name for it is "partial 16S ribosomal RNA". It matches the Rfam family "Bacterial small subunit ribosomal RNA", at positions 29 to 507 of the family's 1533-position model. The record is from RNAcentral.
AGCGAACGCUGGCGGCAGGCCUAACACAUGCAAGUCGAACGAACCUUUCGGGGUUAGUGGCGGACGGGUGAGUAACACGUGGGAACGUGCCUUUAGGUUCGGAAUAACUCAGGGAAACUUGUGCUAUACCGAAUGUGCCCUUCGGGGGAAAGAUUUAUCGCCUUUAGAGCGGCCCGCGUCUGAUUAGCUAGUUGGUUGAGGUAAUGGCUCACCAAGGCGACGAUCAGUAGCUGGUCUGAGAGGAUGAUCAGCCACAGUGGGACUGAGACACGGCCCAAACUCCUACGGGAGGCAGCAGUGGGGAAUCUUGCGCAAUGGGCGAAAGCCUGACGGAGCCAUGCCGCGUGAAUGAUGAAGGUCUUAGGAUUGUAAAAUUCUUUAACCGGGGACGAUAAUGACGGUACCCGGAGAAGAAGCCCCGGCUAACUUCGUG